GACGAACCGUGCAAACGUUGUUCGGAAUCACUGGGCUUAAAGGGCGCGUAGGCGGCUGGCCAAGUCGGGGGUGAAAUACUUCAGCUUAACUGGAGAAGUGCCUUCGAUACUGGCUGGCUCGAGGGAGGUAGGGGUCAUUGGAACUUCUGGUGGAGCGGUGAAAUGCGUAGAGAUGUGGAGGAACACCAAUGGCGAAGGCAGCCUUCUGGGCCAACACUGACGCUCAUGCACGAAAGCGUGGGGAGCAAACAGG
RNAcentral lists this ribosomal RNA (253 nucleotides) under uncultured bacterium. Its description in RNAcentral is "partial 16S ribosomal RNA". It matches the Rfam family "Bacterial small subunit ribosomal RNA", at positions 524 to 776 of the family's 1533-position model. The record is from RNAcentral.